UACGUAGGGUGCAAGCGUUAAUCGGAAUUACUGGGCGUAAAGCGUGCGCAGGCGGUUGUGCAAGACAGAUGUGAAAUCCCCGGGCUUAACCUGGGAACUGCAUUUGUGACUGCACGGCUAGAGUGUGUCAGAGGGGGGUAGAAUUCCACGUGUAGCAGUGAAAUGCGUAGAGAUGUGGAGGAACACCGAUGGCGAAGGCAGCCCCCUGGGCCAAUACUGACGCUCAUGCACGAAAGCGUGGGGAGCAAACAGG
Molecule: ribosomal RNA, 253 nt
Filed under: uncultured bacterium
Lineage: Bacteria
Description: partial 16S ribosomal RNA
Rfam family: Bacterial small subunit ribosomal RNA
Source: RNAcentral